CCUACGGGAGGCAGCAGUGGGGAAUUUUGGACAAUGGACGCAAGUCUGAUCCAGCCAUGCCGCGUGCGGGAAGAAGGCCUUCGGGUUGUAAACCGCUUUUGUCAGGGAAGAAACGGGUUUCUCUAAUACAGAGACCUAAUGACGGUACCUGAAGAAUAAGCACCGGCUAACUACGUGCCAGCAGCCGCGGUAAUACGUAGGGUGCAAGCGUUAAUCGGAAUUACUGGGCGUAAAGCGUGCGCAGGCGGUUAUGCAAGACAGAGGUGAAAUCCCCGGGCUCAACCUGGGAACUGCCUUUGUGACUGCAUAGCUAGAGUACGGUAGAGGGGGAUGGAAUUCCGCGUGUAGCAGUGAAAUGCGUAGAUAUGCGGAGGAACACCGAUGGCGAAGGCAAUCCCCUGGACCUGUACUGACGCUCAUGCACGAAAGCGUGGGGAGCAAACAGGAUUAGAUACCCUGGUAGUCCACGCCCUAAACGAUGUCAACUGGUUGUUGGGAGGGUUUCUUCUCAGUAACGAAGCUAACGCGUGAAGUUGACCGCCUGGGGAGUACGGCCGCAAGGUUGAAAACUCAAAGGAAUUGACGG
This 586-nucleotide ribosomal RNA is filed under the name uncultured bacterium. Its description in RNAcentral is "bacterial SSU rRNA". It matches the Rfam family "Bacterial small subunit ribosomal RNA", at positions 338 to 916 of the family's 1533-position model. The record is from RNAcentral.